Molecule: long non-coding RNA, 2853 nt
Organism: Macaca fascicularis (crab-eating macaque)
Lineage: Eukaryota; Metazoa; Chordata; Mammalia; Primates; Cercopithecidae
Source: Ensembl
CUGCAUCUUGUGGGUUCCUCUCCUAGUCAGCUUCCUAAGGGGCAGCGCUGUAGGACCAAGGACAGAAAUCGUCAAGUGAAGAGCAGAUUGGACGUGAAAACAGAUGCUACCGUGGCCUCUAAGAGAAAAGAAGGAAUCUCUGGGCACAUAUACAGAUAAAAUCACGAGCGAAAGUGGUGAAGCAAGGAGUAGCUGCAAUCCAAGUAUAUACAUGGUGUGAAGAAUCUAAGCACCAUGGGAGGGGCUGCUAUUGCAGCAGCUGUGGUGGCACCUCUGAUCUGCCACUAGGUGGCAAGAGAAUUCCACCAUGGCCACUAACCUCAUCUGGGACUUCGGCUUCACCCUAGAAGCGGGAUAUGGGAUUGGAUUUCUUCCUUCUGAUAAGACAGUGGCAAGCAGGGUUGAUAGUCCCCCGUCCACAGGAAGAGACUAUGACCACAGGAACGUCCUUUUGGGUCCGCCAACCUGGAUCACAGGCUGAGCCUGCGGGGCCCAAGAAGCCAUCGGCUGUGCAGGUGGGGCCAUCGGCUGUGCAGGUGGGGCCGCUGGCUGUGCCAUCGGUGCUCCUGAAGCUGGAGGCUGGGUCAUUGGAGCUCUCGCACCUGGAGGAUGAAUCAUCAGGACUCCUGGACCUGGAGGCUUGGCCAUCGGUGCUCCUGAAGGCGGAGGCUGGGUCAUCACGGCUGCAGGAGGCGGCUGGACCAUCGGGGCUCCCGGAGCAGCAGGCUGGACCAUCAGGACUCCCGGAGUCAGAGGCUGGGCCAUCAGGACUCCCGGAGCUGGAGGCUGGGCCAUCGGUGUCCCCGGAGGGGGAGGCUGGGCCAUCGGUGUCCCCGGAGGGGGAGGAUGAGCCAUCGGUGUCCCCGGAGGGGGAGGAUGAACCAUCGGGGUCCCAGGAGGAGGAGGAUGAACCAUCGGGGUCCCAGGAGGAGGAGGAUGGGCCAUCGGGGUCCCAGGAGGAGCAGGAUGGGCCAUCGGGGUCCCCGGAGGGGGAGGAUGGGCCAUCGGGGUCCCCGGAGGGGGAGGGUGGGACAUUGGGGUCCCCGGAGGAGGAGGAUGGGCCAUGGGAGCUCCGGGAGCUGAAGGAUGCGCCAUCAGGACUCCCGGGGUCGGAGGCUGGGCCAUCGGGGCUCCCGGAGGCGGAGGAUGCACCAUCAGGACCCCGGGAGUUGGAGGCUUACCCAUCGGUCCCCCCAGCGGGGGAGCCGGGACUAUCGGGCCCCCCAGGGCAGGAGGCUGGGUCAUCGGAACCACCGGGGCGGGCAGCUGGCCCUGUGGGGCCUCCCAGGCAGGCUGAGGUGCCUGCCAAGCGGCCAAUGAAGCCUGCAAGUCAAUUGGAGGUGGAUCCCAAGGGACUGGCGGAGCCCGGGAGGAAGCGGGCGGGGCCCGCAUCAGAACCGUAGGGCGGCUAUAGACAGGCGGCUUCGGGGCCUCCGCUGGAGGACUCGAGUCACCCAGAUUCUUACUUAGCUGCGACAUGUCCCUUUGCUGACAGCUGGUGGGUCUUUUCCUCGGACAGCUGCUGGGCCUUUUCCUCCAGAGAGAAGAGAAUGCCUACGUGGCUGUUCGGAGGCUCCCUCCCUGCUGAAUGCUGAAUAGGAAGUGAGUGCUGCUCGCUCCGCAGCUUUCCGCAGUAAGGAGGAGGGGGGAAGGGGGCUCAAGCCCGCCCCUUCCCCGCCCCCGACCACCACAAGUGGAUAUUGCAUAGGGGCGUCUACCGGAGUCCUGGCUGACACAAGAUCCCUUCUCACUCUGUCCAGUCCCCAAAUGCAGACCAGUCAGACUCCACAUGGAUGAGUUUUCACAGGGGAGUGACAGGAACCGAUCCAUGUUUUAGAAAAAUCACGGUACUGCAGUGUGGAGUGGGAGCAGACCACUGGAAACAUGGAAGGUAUCCAAGACCGGGGGGAGAUGGUGUGGUCUGGGCUAAGAUGUGAGGCGGAGAAUGAGAAAAGUGCAUUUACAUAAGAGAGUUUCAGGAGUUAUAGCAGACAGAUACCUGUAUUAUAACUGAAUAAAGGAGUCAGAGACAUGGAAAAGGCACACAAGUCCCUGUCUGGAGAAAGUGGAAAGUUGCAGGACUGUUCCUCUCUUAGGGUCCCAGGAGAGGCACACGGGAAGAGAGGCUGAUGAGUAUUGGCAGACACAGGGCAUUUGCGGUGCUGUGGGACUGCCAAGGAGAGAUGCCCUGUAGGCACUCCUGUAUAAUGUCUUGGGAGUCCUGCUUGGCUAUUCCUCGUAAAAAUAGAGUUGUGGGAGGGAAUGUGGUUGCACUAGAUCUUGAAGAACACAGGCAUGUUAGAGACACAUGGAGAAAAGGGAUAGCAGCAAGUAGGGAGAGAGAGGAAAAGAAGUCACGGAACUGAGACAUGCCACAAAUCAGCGGAAGACAGAGUUUUUCGUAUGGGGAAAACUGCCUGUGGAAUGGCUCGGAUGCAGGAACAGAGUAGGUUUCUCAGUGUUUUUCAGUUGCAGAACAGGAAAGAAAUUUUUAAAAUGAAAACCAAAUAAUGCACCUGAAGAUAACAAAAUGGGUAUAUAAACAGAUCAAAAAUUGAUACAUUUGGACAUAUAGGAAAAACAGGCAAACAAUAACAAAAUUUCUGGGGAAACUACUUGUGACAAAAAUCAGUUUAAGUAUGAGACAAAUCAAGUAUUAACAGAUAAAGCAGGCGACAAUAGUAUUAUUGGACAAUGCUAUACAACUUUAUGGUGAGAGGAAGUGAUAAUCUCAGUAGUUGAAAAGUUUUCUGGAAAUAUACAAACUACUAAAUAUCAGGGAUAUUUCGUUUAAAUAGGCUGUUGGCAGCCUAGGGCAGGAGUCCAGAGUGACAAAAUGUGCCACCAGGGGGC